This 497-nucleotide ribosomal RNA is filed under the name uncultured bacterium. RNAcentral's name for it is "partial 16S ribosomal RNA". It matches the Rfam family "Bacterial small subunit ribosomal RNA", at positions 28 to 507 of the family's 1533-position model. The record is from RNAcentral.
GAUGAACGCUGGCGGCGUGCCUAAUACAUGCAAGUCGAGCGAACAGACGAGGAGCUUGCUCCUCUGACGUUAGCGGCGGACGGGUGAGUAACACGUGGAUAACCUACCUAUAAGACUGGGAUAACUUCGGGAAACCGGAGCUAAUACCGGAUAAUAUAUUGAACCGCAUGGUUCAAUAGUGAAAGACGGUUUUGCUGUCCCUUAUAGAUGGAUCCGCGCCGCAUUAGCUCGUUGGUAAGGUAACGGCUUACCAAGGCGACGAUGCGUAGCCGACCUGAGAGGGUGAUCGGCCACACUGGAACUGAGACACGGUCCAGACUCCUACGGGAGGCAGCAGUAGGGAAUCUUCCGCAAUGGGCGAAAGCCUGACGGAGCAACGCCGCGUGAGUGAUGAAGGUCUUCGGAUCGUAAAACUCUGUUAUUAGGGAAGAACAAAUGUGUAAGUAACUAUGCACGUCUUGACGGUACCUAAUCAGAAAGCCACGGCUAACUACGUG